RNAcentral lists this ribosomal RNA (446 nucleotides) under uncultured bacterium. Its description in RNAcentral is "partial 16S ribosomal RNA". It matches the Rfam family "Bacterial small subunit ribosomal RNA", at positions 338 to 795 of the family's 1533-position model. The record is from RNAcentral.
CCUACGGGUGGCAGCAGUCGAGAAUCAUUCACAAUGGGGGAAACCCUGAUGGUGCGACGCCGCGUGGGGGAAUGAAGGUCUUCGGAUUGUAAACCCCUGUCAUGUGGGAGCAAAUUAAAAAGAUAGUACCACAAGAGGAAGUGACGGCCAACUCUGUGCCAGCUGCCGCGGUAAUACCGAGGGCUGCAGGGGUGUUCGGAAUCACUGGGGGUAAAGGGUGCGGAGGUUGUUUCGUAAGGCGUGUGGUAAAGGGGCGGGGUCAACCCGCGGACGGCACAUGAUACUGCGAGACUAGAGUAGGGGAGAGGGAAGCGGAAUGCGCGGUGUAGCAGUGAAAUGCGUAGAUAUCGAGAAGAACACUCGUUGCGAAGGCAGGUUCCUGGACAUUAACUGACGCUGAGGCACGAAGGCCAGGGGAGCGAAAGGGAUUAGAUACCCGUGUAGUC